RNAcentral lists this ribosomal RNA (259 nucleotides) under uncultured Oscillospiraceae bacterium. Its description in RNAcentral is "partial 16S ribosomal RNA". It matches the Rfam family "Bacterial small subunit ribosomal RNA", at positions 80 to 339 of the family's 1533-position model. The record is from RNAcentral. Lineage: Bacteria; Bacillati; Bacillota; Clostridia; Eubacteriales; Oscillospiraceae.
AAGCUUGUAAACUUAGUGGCGGACGGGUGAGUAACACGUGAGCAACCUGCCUAUCAGAGGGGGAUAACGAUUGGAAACGAUCGCUAAUACCGCAUGAUACAUUUGGGUGGCAUCAUCUGAAUGUCAAAGAUUUAUCGCUGAAAGAUGGCCUCGCGUCUGAUUAGCUAGUUGGUGAGGUAACGGCCCACCAAGGCGACGAUCAGUAGCCGGACUGAGAGGUUGACCGGCCACAUUGGGACUGAGAUACGGCCCAGACUCC